AUUGACAUACUGUAUUUAUUGCACAAAUUUCCCCUAAAAUUGGGAAUGGUUAUUAUAAUACAAGUGCACAUCUUGGGAAAUAUAUACAAAACCAGAAGAGAGAACAAGUAUGUACAUUUUACCCAGCAUUUUACAAGUACCACCAUCUAAAUAAUUUAGAGAAAGCAAAAAAAAAAAUUGUCAUAAAACAUCUCUAAUAACUAACAGGGAAAACAUCCGCAAGGUGGAAAAUCCUUUCUUUUAAAUAGGUUUUGUUCUUAGCAGCCCAGUGUUUGCCAAUUGCAACAACACCAACUUUGCUCAGUCGUGUGCCUUAGUACACUUAGUUUUCAGCCAGGAAAUUAAGACAUGUUAAUGGAGACUGGUAAUAGUGGAAACAAAAGAAAUCAAACAUUAGUUUUCUAUUCACAUAAAAACCAUCGCGAUACACUUUAAUGGAGUCCUGUAGAAGAUCCCUUUUUGUGGUGUUUAACACACGGACAUUCGUACCACGUUGUUCAUGUACCCUCAAAGUUCACUUACUUACAGGAAAACGUCCCUUCAUGCAGGGUUUGGGAUAAGUUGGGACCAAUGUGCUCCUCGGGAGGGGGAUGAGGAGGCCACAUCCAUGGCCGCUCCGCUGGGACAAUGCUGAGGGGUCGUGUCAGGCAGGGGACAGCAGGGAAGGACACCACCAAAUCACCUCUUUCUUCUCAAGUUAAUACUAAUUUCAAGCUGUGCAAGGGCCGUUUGAGAGAGUCAAAUCCGCAUCAGCAAUGCCAACAACUCGCCUGAUCAUGGUUAAAGGGAGGAGGAUGUGAUAUCUUCCUUGUAAGCAUGGUCGGGGGGGGCUUGUCCAGCUAUUUAGGGAUGUACUGUGGAUGGACCCACAUGAGGAACAACCCAGAGGCAGGGGUUCUAGAGCCAGGACCAUGCUGAUACCACCAGGUUACAACUGCAAGUCUAUGUAUAACGUUCAGAAUCGUAACAGCUGGCUCUAAAUUGAGCACAGCAAAGAGUUAAACACCCCUGUGCUGAGCUCAGUGCUGUAUUUCGUUAAGAAUGGGUUUACACAACUGGGCCCCUACGUUCUGUGCUCAUUCCAAAAGCCAGACGUAAAAUAAUGGUGUGGUGAAGGAAGGACAUUGGAAGAAUAGGGGAGAAACGUCCUCAGAUCACGUAUUAAACACAAGGUUCUUCCCUGCAGCAGUCAGCGUUAGAGUUUAUAUACAAAAGAGCUCCCAAUGACACUGCCUAUAUUAAGGUUUGCUUGACUUACUAAGGUGGACUCAGUCCUACACGGAAAGGGCCGCGGGUUUCCCAUGUGGGUCUUCCCCGGGACAGAGCCUGAAGUUACAGCUUUUAAGUACUCCUGAAAUCCCGGCGCAGGGAGGAAGGGAGGAGCCAGCGCUGGGGCAGGGAUCUCUCCUAUUGUUUUCAAGUUUAUCAAAUGGUUAAAAUAGAUUUGUAUUUCAAAUAACUCCUCAAACAAUAGCAGGCGUGCUAUGCUAUUGAAUAGGUGAUUACAGAAGGGCAUAUUUAUAGAGCUGUUUAUAGAGUUGAGAGACCACGUGAACUCGUGUCUCCUACUUGGGUGGCUAACCCAGGAGUUCCAACCUACUGAACAUCAGGGAUGGAAACAGAACCUAAAAACCAGCAACAUUAACUGGCUGCCAGGACAAAUACGCAAAGAAAAGCCUCUAAUGAAGUGUCCAGUUAAACUGAGGUAGUAGAGCCUUUGAAAACAUAAUCCACCUACCACUGUAUAUUUACAUUACUUACACCAGGCUGGGUCCAUCAGCUAUUCGUACAACUGUUGUAUAUACAAUGACAAAACAGCGAUGGCUGAGGAAAGGAGAAAUGCUGAGAAUAAAAUAAACAACAUUUCCUGCUGGUAAUUACACAAGUGAGUAGAAAAGGGAUUAGAGUCAUCUGCAUCGAGGGUGUAUCUGUCCAAAAAUAACCUGGUGUUACUGCACUGUGGUGUAAUCAACGUUCUGGUUUUGUAGAAUGGCUUUAAAAAAUAUAUCGAUUCGUUACCUGAGCAAUUUAAGGGUAAUAAUAGUCUAUUCACUCCUUCCCCACUGCUUUGGUACAAUUGUUUC
Long non-coding RNA from Strigops habroptila (Kakapo), 2084 nucleotides. The record is from Ensembl. NCBI's taxonomy places the organism in Eukaryota, Metazoa, Chordata, Aves, Psittaciformes, Psittacidae.